GAUGAACGCUAGCGGCAGGCCUAAUACAUGCAAGUCGGACGGGAUUCAGGAGCUUGCUUCUGAUGAGAGUGGCGCACGGGUGCGUAACACGUAUGUAACCUACCUUUAUCAGGGGGAUAGCCUCUCGAAAGAGAGAUUAAGCCCGCAUAAAAUCACAGCACAGCUUUUUUUAAUGUUCAAAUAUUUAUAGGAUAAAGAUGGGCAUGCGGAACAUUAGCUAGAUGGCGGGGUAACGGCCCACCAUGGCGACGAUGUUUAGGGGAUCUGAGAGGAUGGCCCCCCACACUGGUACUGAGACACGGACCAGACUCCUACGGGAGGCAGCAGUAAGGAAUAUUGGUCAAUGGGCGGAAGCCUGAACCAGCCAUGCCGCGUGCAGGAAGACGGCCCUACGGGUUGUAAACUGCUUUUAUACGGGAGUAAACCCAGAUACGUGUAUCUGGCUGAAUGUACUGUAAGAAUAAGGAUCGGCUAACUCCGUG
RNAcentral lists this ribosomal RNA (482 nucleotides) under uncultured bacterium. Its description in RNAcentral is "partial 16S ribosomal RNA". It matches the Rfam family "Bacterial small subunit ribosomal RNA", at positions 28 to 507 of the family's 1533-position model. The record is from RNAcentral.